This 253-nucleotide ribosomal RNA is filed under the name uncultured bacterium. RNAcentral describes it as "partial 16S ribosomal RNA". It matches the Rfam family "Bacterial small subunit ribosomal RNA", at positions 524 to 776 of the family's 1533-position model. The record is from RNAcentral.
UACGGAGGGUGCAAGCGUUAUCCGGAAUCACUGGGUAUAAAGGGUGCGUAGGCGGCUUGCUAAGUCAGGAGUGAAAGGCCACGGCUUAACCGUGGGAUUGCUUUUGAUACUGGCGAGCUUGGAUUAGGACGAGGUUGGCGGAAUGUGGCAAGUAGCGGUGAAAUGCAUAGAUAUGCCAUAGAAUACCGAUUGCGAAGGCAGCUGACUAGACCUAUAUUGACGCUGAGGCACGAAAGCGUGGGGAGCGAACAGG